ACAUAGUUCUCCUAUCGAUGCAUCCCAUUCCAUCCCAGGCACUUUUGCAUAGAUGUGGUGGGCAUGGUCAUGGCAUGUCAUGCAUGUAUGUCCUUGCUAGUAGUGAUCGCAGAAGGCAUCAUUCGGCACUUUGUUGAUGAGUGUGAUGAGGUUGUUGAAGGUCGGCGGUUCUAUUGUUGGCACGUUGCCGAUAAUCAAUGGUCACCUGCACUCCUAUGCUUGUUAGUAA
RNAcentral lists this long non-coding RNA (229 nucleotides) under Elaeis guineensis (African oil palm). RNAcentral describes it as "long non-coding RNA (EGUI_LNC014619)". Lineage: Eukaryota; Viridiplantae; Streptophyta; Magnoliopsida; Arecales; Arecaceae. The record is from RNAcentral.